RNAcentral lists this ribosomal RNA (405 nucleotides) under uncultured bacterium. RNAcentral's name for it is "partial 16S ribosomal RNA". It matches the Rfam family "Bacterial small subunit ribosomal RNA", at positions 30 to 526 of the family's 1533-position model. The record is from RNAcentral.
AUUGAACGCUAGCGGGAUGCUUUACACAUGCAAGUCGAACGAGUGGCGGACGGGUGAGUAAUAUAUCGGAACGUGCCCAGUAGCGGGGGAUAACUAAUCGAAAGAGUGGCUAAUACAGCAUACUAUUGGAGCGGCCGAUAUCGGAUUAGCUAGGUGGUGGGGUAAAGGCUCACCAAGGCAACGAUCCGUAGCUGGUUUGAGAGGACGACCAGCCACCCUGGGAGUGAGACCCGGCCCAGCCUCCUACGGUAGGCAGUAGUGGGGAAUUUUGGACCAUGGGGGGAACCCUGAUCCAGCCAUCCCGCGUGUAUGAGAAGGACUUCGGGGUGUAAAGUACUUUUGGCAGGGAAGCGGUAUCUGCAGAAUAAGCACCGGCUAACUACGUGCCAGCAGCCGCGGUAAUAC